Long non-coding RNA from Bradysia coprophila, 114 nucleotides. The record is from RefSeq and is a predicted model, not a curated record. NCBI's taxonomy places the organism in Eukaryota, Metazoa, Arthropoda, Insecta, Diptera, Sciaridae.
AUUUUUGCAGCAUCCUUAAGGAAAUUUAGGACGUGACCUGAAAAAAUCACUUACCUGUCGAGGUACAAACAACGUUUUGAGCACAGGACAACUGAAAUAGACAAACUCCCAAAC